UAACUGUAAACGAUGCGGACUUGGUGUUGGGGUGGCUUUGAGCUGCUUCAGUGCCGAAGGGAAGCUGUUAAGUCCGCCGCCUGGGAAGUACGGCCGCAAGGCUGAAACUUAAAGGAAUUGGCGGGGGAGCACAACAACGGGUGGAGCCUGCGGUUUAAUUGGACUCAACGCCGGACAACUCACCGGGACGGACAGCAAUAUGUAGGCCAGGCUGAAGACCUUGCCUGAAUCGCUGAGAGGUGGUGCAUGGCGUAGACGUCU
This 261-nucleotide ribosomal RNA is filed under the name uncultured archaeon. Its description in RNAcentral is "partial 16S ribosomal RNA". It matches the Rfam family "Archaeal small subunit ribosomal RNA", at positions 748 to 1009 of the family's 1478-position model. The record is from RNAcentral.